This 456-nucleotide ribosomal RNA is filed under the name Triticum aestivum (bread wheat). RNAcentral's name for it is "partial small subunit ribosomal RNA". The record is from RNAcentral. Lineage: Eukaryota; Viridiplantae; Streptophyta; Magnoliopsida; Poales; Poaceae.
AUGGAUCAGAAGCUGAUCGAGCACCUUGAGGCCAAAGUGAGUGCUGAUAGUGCGAGAUUUCAGUCUCUCAUCGAUUUGUUCAUACCAACCAUCGACAACGAGCAUGGCAUAUGCUACACCCAACCUGAGAAACUUCCAGGUAUCACACUGAGUGGCCUAAGGAAGCAUUUCUUCCAGCGCAAUUCCAGGGCAUUCAAAAGGGGCACGUGGACGCGUCGCCAGAUAGACUCGGCGUGCGGCAUGCACGUGAUGUGGCACAAGACUGGCAAUACCUUGCCGGUGAUAGUCAACAGCCGGCAGACGGGCAGCAAAAAAGGUUCUGGUGCUGCACACCAACAAGAACUUCGACCAGCAGAGGACCAACUGGGUGAUGCACCAGUACCACCUCAGGGACCAGGAGAAAGAGAAGGAGCGGGAGAUGGUCCUCUGAAAGAUUUUCUACUAGACGAACACUAG